Molecule: ribosomal RNA, 484 nt
Filed under: uncultured bacterium
Lineage: Bacteria
Description: partial 16S ribosomal RNA
Rfam family: Bacterial small subunit ribosomal RNA
Source: RNAcentral
AUUGAACGCUGGCGGCAUGCUUUACACAUGCAAGUCGAACGGCAGCGCGGGCUUCGGCCUGGCGGCGAGUGGCGCACGGGUGAGUAAUGCAUCGGAACGUGCCCAGUAGUGGGGGAUAGCCCGGCGAAAGCCGGAUUAAUACCGCAUACGACCUGCGGGUGCAAGCGGGGGACCGAAAGGCCUCGCGCUCUUGGAGCGGCCGAUGUCGGAUUAGCUAGUUGGUGGGGUAAAGGCUUACCAAGGCGACGAUCCGUAGCUGGUCUGAGAGGACGACCAGCCACACUGGGACUGGGACACGGCCCAGACGCCUACGGGAGGCAGCAGUGGGGAAUGUUGGACAAUGGGGGCAACCCUGAUCCAGCGAUGCCGCGUGCGGGAAGAAGGCCUUCGGGUUGUAAACCGCUUUUGUUCGGGAAGAAAUCCUCUGGGCUAAUACCCCGGGGGGAUGACGGUACCGGAAGAAUAAGCACCGGCUAACUACGUG